Non-coding RNA from Bemisia tabaci, 1411 nucleotides. The record is from RefSeq and is a predicted model, not a curated record. Lineage: Eukaryota; Metazoa; Arthropoda; Insecta; Hemiptera; Aleyrodidae.
GGGCAAGAUCAGUCGUAGCUAGGUUCGCUGUCCAGAUGCUACAACUAAGUUUACUCGUUGACCGUUGGCUACAAAGUUGGUUUAUUCAUUUACGGAGAUUCAUUCAAUUUUCUUAGGUCACAGAUACCCAGGACAAUUCUUUAAUUAUUCAUCAGUAUCGAAUGUUAACAUAAUGUUGGCUAAAAUAAUGUCAAUUAUUUACUCUUUGCUGAUUUUUAUUCAUAUGGUGCACUCCUUACCAACUAUCGCAGUGAGAGGAAAAUGCACACCUGGUGAGUUGGUUUUCGUUCAGUGUAACUUAUGCACGUGCAGCCCGAAAGGAGAGCCGAAUCAAGUCUGCGCGGAAAUGUGGUGCCCUCCGGACGCUCGGGUCAAGCACUUAUACCCCAACCCCUUUCAAAAAUUUUACCCCAACAGGUAAAACUGCUGGAAAUAUGUGUCCAUGAAAGUACAAUACAGUCGAAUACAGGGGCCCGAGGCAAACCUAGGAAUUCCCACUCCCUUGCAAUGGUAAUGACUAAUUUUUUUUAAAAUAAAAAAAAAAAAAAAAAAAAAAAACUUGCAACAUAUGACAUCGAAAUCAUGUACUUUUUUUCUUUUUUUUCAAAACUUGGUUGAAUGGCCAAUCGAACGCGGAAAAGCGGAAUCGGCGUCAUUUGCUGUGUUUUUAAAGGCCAAAAUUCUCUUAAACUGAGAGCUGACGCUUUGUUUUUGCCUUAUCACAUGUUUGCUCGAGUGAAAUGACCGGCCGUGGCAAUAAGAAUUGUAGGGAGGCAAAUUUCUCCUUGUGGCACUGUGUGAGAAGUCGGAUAAAAAAUCUAAAUUUCAUGGUUUAACGUGGGGUGUCCCAACGUACCAAUACUAUUCCAACGUUUCAUGAUAUUUAAUUUAUUUUCAUGUCGAUAAAACUCGUAAGGUCCCAUUAUGAUCUCAGCGCUUCAACCACCGAGCCUCGACUAAAGGGGGUGAAGACUCCAAUUAGCUCUUUCUCAAGGAUAAGUUUAGAUCGCUAAAAGCUCACAGAUAAUAAUAUGUCUGGGUGCGUUAUUCUUUUGUGCCCAUUUGUUUGUAAACCUGUCUUCUAAGAGAGUGGUGCAAAUCUAUGAAUUUUGAAUUACUUCCACCACAAUCCCCUUUUCAACCGAUACUUUCGUGUCGAUGGCAAGUUUUACUAUCUGGUUUUUUUUUUCUUUUUCACCUCACACAUUCUUGUGAACUUUUUAGAGGUUAUAAGAGUGAGGACACAAAUAAAGAGAGAAAUAAAUAUAAACACUGCAUUUUGUAUAUUCUUAGGUAUCAUAGUCGUCCGAUUUUUAAAAGGAUUCAUUCUUCUGUAACGGUUAAUAGAAUCUUUGAAGUUCAUAAUUUCUUUUAUUUGUUACCUUUAAAUUCAAUAUAUGCAUCUUCACAA